CGGAAACAUGUGCCGUUUAACAGAGUAGGUGUUGGGGAUCAGUUUCCUCAUGGCAACAUGUCUUCUAUUUAUCCUUUCAAAUGGCCAGAGAUCAGACAAAAGAGACUCUCCUUGCAGUCUUCUCCAAGCUGGCUUUUCAGAUAGGUGGUGAUGGAUAUGCAGUGUGAAGUGAAGAAGGAAAGACAACUAUGAGGUUACUAGGUGACUGAAGUUGUUCCGUUGAGUUUUCUUCUGAGAUCAUGCAUGCUUGCAAAUCAUAGUUUAGUUUGGAAUCUAUGGUCUUGAAUUAGCAUUGUAUCUUGAAUUGGAUUGUAACAAAACAAAAUUCUUGUGGUAUGAAUGUAUGCUACCGAUGUGCUCUUUUUUC
This is a long non-coding RNA of Sorghum bicolor (sorghum), 367 nucleotides long. RefSeq lists it as uncharacterized. The transcript is spliced from 2 exons. The record is from RefSeq and is a predicted model, not a curated record. NCBI's taxonomy places the organism in Eukaryota, Viridiplantae, Streptophyta, Magnoliopsida, Poales, Poaceae.